Molecule: long non-coding RNA, 922 nt
Filed under: Homo sapiens (human)
Lineage: Eukaryota; Metazoa; Chordata; Mammalia; Primates; Hominidae
Rfam family: Pvt1 oncogene conserved region 1 (bases 32-209)
Source: RNAcentral
CGCGCUCCUCCGGGCAGAGCGCGUGUGGCGGCCGAGCACAUGGGCCCGCGGGCCGGGCGGGCUCGGGGCGGCCGGGACGAGGAGGGGCGACGACGAGCUGCGAGCAAAGAUGUGCCCCGGGACCCCCGGCACCUUCCAGUGGAUUUCCUUGCGGAAAGGAUGUUGGCGGUCCCUGUGACCUGUGGAGACACGGCCAGAUCUGCCCUCCACUGACCAUACUCCCUGGAGCCUUCUCCCGAGGUGCGCGGGUGACCUUGGCACAUACAGCCAUCAUGAUGGUACUUUAAGUGGAGGCUGAAUCAUCUCCCCUUUGAGCUGCUUGGCACGUGGCUCCCUUGGUGUUCCCCUUUUACUGCCAGGACACUGAGAUUUGGAGAGAAUCCUGUUACACCUGGGAUUUAGGCACUUUCAAUCUGAAAAAAUACAUAUCCUUUCAGCACUCUGGACGGACUUGAGAACUGUCCUUACGUGACCUAAAGCUGGAGUAUUUUGAGAUUGGAGAAUUAAGAAGGACAGAAUAACGGGCUCCCAGAUUCACAAGCCCCACCAAGAGGAUCACCCCAGGAACGCUUGGAGGCUGAGGAGUUCACUGAGGCUACUGCAUCUUGAGACUCAGGAUGAAGACCCAGCUUGGGGCUGUCAAAGGUUUUUUGCAUGUCUGACACCCAUGACUCCACCUGGACCUUAUGGCUCCACCCAGAAGCAAUUCAGCCCAACAGGAGGACAGCUUCAACCCAUUACGAUUUCAUCUCUGCCCCAACCACUCAGCAGCAAGCACCUGUUACCUGUCCACCCCCACCCCUUCCCCCAAACUGCCUUUGAAAAAUCCCUAACCUAUGAGCUUUGAAUAAGAUGAGUACGAACUUCAUCGCCCACGUGGCGUGGCCGGCCUCGUGUCUAUUAAAUUCUUUUUCUACUACAA